CCUACGGGUGGCUGCAGUGAGGAAUAUUGGUCAAUGGACGAGAGUCUGAACCAGCCAAGUAGCGUGAAGGAUGACUGCCCUAUGGGUUGUAAACUUCUUUUAUAUGGGAAUAAAAUGUUCCACGUGUGGGCUUUUGUAUGUACCAUAUGAAUAAGGAUCGGCUAACUCCGUGCCAGCAGCCGCGGUAAUACGGAGGAUCCGAGCGUUAUCCGGAUUUAUUUGGUUUAAAGGGAGCGUAGGUGGAUUGUUAAGUCAGUUGUGAAAGUUUGCGGAGCAACCGUAAAAUUGCAGUUGAAACUGGCAGUCUUGAGUACAGUAGAGGUGGGCGGAAUUCGUGGUGUAGCGGUGAAAUGCUUAGAUAUCACGAAGAACUCCGAUUGCGAAGGCAGCUCACUGGACUGCAACUGACACUGAGGCUCGAAAGUGUGGGUAUCAAACAGGAUUAGAUACCCGUGUAGUC
This 460-nucleotide ribosomal RNA is filed under the name uncultured bacterium. Its description in RNAcentral is "partial 16S ribosomal RNA". It matches the Rfam family "Bacterial small subunit ribosomal RNA", at positions 338 to 795 of the family's 1533-position model. The record is from RNAcentral.